CAUCGGAACGUACCCAGUCGUGGGGGAUAGCCCGGCGAAAGCCGGAUUAAUACCGCAUACGACCUGAGGGUGAAAGCGGGGGACCGCAAGGCCUCGCGCGAUUGGAGCGGCCGAUGUCUGAUUAGCUAGUUGGUGGGGUAAAGGCCCACCAAGGCGACGAUCAGUAGCGGGUCUGAGAGGAUGAUCCGCCACACUGGAACUGAGACACGGUCCAGACUCCUACGGGAGGCAGCAGUGGGGAAUUUUGGACAAUGGGGGCAACCCUGAUCCAGCCAUUCCGCGUGAGUGAAGAAGGCCUUCGGGUUGUAAAGCUCUUUCGGCAGGAAAGAAAUCGCCCUCUCUAACAUAGGGGGUGGAUGACGGUACCUGAAGAAGAAGCACCGGCUAACUACGUGCCAGCAGCCGCGGUAAUACGUAGGGUGCGAGCGUUAAUCGGAAUUACUGGGCGUAAAGCGUGCGCAGGCGGCUUUUUAAGCCAGAUGUGAAAUCCCCGGGCUUAACCUGGGAACUGCAUUUGGAACUGGAAGGCUAGAGUGCGGCAGAGGGGGGUAGAAUUCCACGUGUAGCAGUGAAAUGCGUAGAGAUGUGGAGGAAUACCGAUGGCGAAGGCAGCCCCCUGGGUUGACACUGACGCUCAUGCACGAAAGCGUGGGGAGCAAACAGGAUUAGAUACCCUGGUAGUCCACGCCCUAAACGAUGUCAACUGGUUGUUGGGGGAGUGAAAUCCCUUAGUAACGAAGCUAACGCGUGAAGUUGACCGCCUGGGGAGUACGGUCGCAAGAUUAAAACUCAAAGGAAUUGACGGGGACCCGCACAAGCGGUGGAUGAUGUGGAUUAAUUCGAUGCAACGCGAAGAACCUUACCUACUCUUGACAUGUC
RNAcentral lists this ribosomal RNA (879 nucleotides) under uncultured bacterium. RNAcentral describes it as "bacterial SSU rRNA". It matches the Rfam family "Bacterial small subunit ribosomal RNA", at positions 116 to 990 of the family's 1533-position model. The record is from RNAcentral.